RNAcentral lists this long non-coding RNA (820 nucleotides) under Bos indicus x Bos taurus (hybrid cattle). Its description in RNAcentral is "lncRNA (ENSBIXG00005020127.1)". Lineage: Eukaryota; Metazoa; Chordata; Mammalia; Artiodactyla; Bovidae. The record is from RNAcentral.
AUGGCAACCCACUCCUGUAUUCUUGCCUGCAGAAUCCCCAUGGACAGAGAAGCCUGGUGGGCUACAGUCCACGGGUUCACAAAGGAUCGGACACCACUGAAGCAGGAUCAGACACCACUGAAGCAGCUUGGCACACUUUCCCCUCUCUGGAACCUCCGCAUGCCUCUCCAGAAGGUUCAGGAUCAGGCACAAGUAUGCCCUGGCCUGGACCUCAGUGAUUGGACAUCCCUGGGAUACACCUGGUGCAUACCUGGAGCGUACCUUCCAGGCUUCUGGCCACUAGUCCAUCUUGAUCCUGCUCAACCAGUGUCAGAAGGACAACAGGCAUCUGAAUGGAAUCACUUUUCCUGCUGAAACACAAAAUUGGGAACACGCACGGGGUGCUCACUACAGGCCAGGCCUGAUCCUCAGCACUUCACACUCAUUAUGGACUCACAACCGCCAGUGCUGCUGGCCAAGAAUGGUGCUUCCUGCCCAUCCUGUGGGUGAGGUCAUGUGACUAGUUCUAACCAAUGAGCUGUGAGUGAAACUGACACAUAUUAUUCCCAUGCUAGAGCUUAGGGACCCCAUGGACUGCAGCCUACCAGGCUCCUCCAUCCAUGGGAUUUUCCAGGCAAGAGUACUGGAGUGGGGUGCCAUUGCCUUCUCCAAAUUGCCUGUGCAGGAACUUCCAAAGCUCUUAUUUCCUUCUGGUGUGACAGCCAGAAAUGUUCCAGAAUGUGAAUGCUCCACUAAUGACUAUGAUGUGCAAAGCCUGCCCUCAAUGACCCAAAAUAGACAUAAAACAUGAGUGAGAAAUAAACUUUGUGAUUUUCAGCCA